Molecule: long non-coding RNA, 1529 nt
Organism: Lutra lutra (Eurasian river otter)
Lineage: Eukaryota; Metazoa; Chordata; Mammalia; Carnivora; Mustelidae
Exons: 3
Source: RefSeq, a predicted model, not a curated record
CUCACAGGAAAAAAAAAAAAAAACAAAAACAAAAAACCCUUCUGUAUAUUUUUCCCGCUGGGUGGUCAGAAGGAAAGGCCACGAAGCCAAAGGCCUCCCAUUGAGACAGUGCUAUACGGAGAGCCGACCUCACGUGCCGCCGCUGCAGGAGAUGAGAGCACCUGUCGGGUCUCCGCCACUCCUUGGACCUGAAAACUCUCCUUUCCAAGUGCACCCUUUGAGAUCUGCCCAUCGCCGAAGGUCAAACUUGAGUACCACCACAUCUCUAUGCAGGAUACAUCUUGAAGAUGACACAAAUGUCAAGGACAACCUAACCCAUAUCAACCUUUGUAAGUGUGAUAACUAAACAUUCAGUGUGUUAACUCUCUGAGGUUUGGUGAUUGCUCCAACAAUUUUAUCCAUAUCCUCAAACUUCAUCUGAGCCAGUAGUUUCUUCUUCCUGUCUCAUCAGCAUCUAUCAGGACUACACAUCUAUGAUGAAAGCAAGGAACUGGGUUAGUUUCUUCUUCUUCCUUGUUAAGUGUGUACCUCUCCCCACUCCAAGUUGUAUUGUGCAGUAAAAUGACUGGGAAGAAGAAGAAGGUCAUGGACUGCCUAAAUCACUGAACAACAGGAUCACUGACUAUGUCCAAAAAGGUCUUAGACAAGCCAAACAGUGGAAAAGGUAAAAUGUUAACAUGAGUGCAGUAAAUAUUUAGUCCUUCUUUGGGGAAUCUUGAGGAAAAAGGAGAGUGUUGUGUUGGAAAUGACUGACAGGUGGAUGUCUUCAGGGGCCUACCACACCAUGGAAGGCUGUCUGGAGGAGAAAGUGUGCCUUAUGUCCUUCCCAAUAAAAAGCCUGGGAAAAAACAUCUGUCAAGUGAUAUUUGGAACUGACAUUUUCAUAAGGAUCCAGUCUAUGGAGGGCUUUUGCAGGGCUUGGAAAAACACAUUUUUCAUUCUUCCUCCUCUCCAUCUCCUGUAAUUAAAUGAUGUUCACAGUGUUAAAUGUAUAUUUAAAAUGACAUGCUUCAAGGAUUACAUUUUAGGAAGCUUUCUAUUUGGAAACAAUUUUGAUAAUAAUAAUGAUCAUUUCAAAAAGUAAUAUUUAUUUCCUGAGCCCUUUGAGAGUAAGGUAGGUGCACACAUCAUGGCUCUUUACUCAUAAAUAUUUCCCAUUUCCUUCUAAAUGUACUCCAAGCUGGGGUCUGAGACACAGAGUGAUGCCCAAUUUAUGGCACUAAGCUUUGGGAAAUGGAAGUCCAGGUUAUGCCUUUAUUUUCCAGCAAUUAGGAUAUUUCUGGAGAGGAAUGUUGGCUGAAAGAUGCCCACAUGGAGAGAUAUCUGCUCUCUUGCCACAGGUGCUACCUUGUCUAAUAUUUUCAUGUUCUGCUUGGGUGAUGAAAUAGAAGGGAUGUUUGCCGCCCCACCCCCACCCCAUUCAGGGAUUCUGAUUGGGAAUGGGUGGCUAACAUAGUUUCUGGGUCAGAAAAGAUCUUGAUAAACUGGAUCUUUAUCAAAUUAAAUAUAAAAUAUAUGGUAUAGGGGCG